RNAcentral lists this ribosomal RNA (301 nucleotides) under uncultured bacterium. RNAcentral describes it as "partial 16S ribosomal RNA". It matches the Rfam family "Bacterial small subunit ribosomal RNA", at positions 509 to 807 of the family's 1533-position model. The record is from RNAcentral.
CAGCAGCCGCGGGAAUACGGAGGGUGCAAGCGUUAAUCGGAAUUACUGGGCGUAAAGCGUGCGUAGGCGGUUGUUUAAGUCUGUCGUGAGAGCCCUGGGCUCAACCUGGGAAUUGCGAUGGAUACUGGGCGACUAGAGUGCGGUAGAGGAUAGUGGAAUUUCCGGUGUAGCAGUGAAAUGCGUAGAGAUCGGAAGGAACAUCUGUGGCGAAGGCGACUAUCUGGGCCAACACUGACACUGAGACACGAAAGCGUGGGGAGCAAACAGGAUUAGAUACCCGUGUAGUCCCUGUCUCUUAUAC